Molecule: ribosomal RNA, 370 nt
Filed under: uncultured eukaryote
Lineage: Eukaryota
Description: partial 18S ribosomal RNA
Rfam family: Eukaryotic small subunit ribosomal RNA
Source: RNAcentral
CAAUAGCGUAUAUUAAAGUUGUUGCAGUUAAAAAGCUCGUAGUUGGACCUUGGACCUGGACAGGUGGUCCGCCUCACGGCGAGUACUGUCUUGCUGGGUCUUUCCUCUUGGUGAUCUGUUGUUUCGGCAGCAGGGAACCAGGACCUUUACUUUGAAAAAAUUAGAGUGUUCAAAGCAGGCUCGACGCCGGAAUAUAUUAGCAUGGAAUAAUAAAAUAGGACGUGCGGUUCUAUUUUGUUGGUUUUUGGAAUCGCCGUAAUGAUUAAUAGGGACAGUCGGGGGCAUUAGUACUCACAUGCUAGAGGUGAAAUUCUUGGAUUUUGUGAAGACUAACUUCUGCGAAAGCAUUUGCCAAGGAUGUUUUCAUUAA